UACGUAGGGGCCAAGCGUUGUUCGGAUUUACUGGGCGUAAAGGGCGCGUAGGCGGCGUGUUAAGUCAGCUGUGAAAUCUCCGAGCUUAACUCGGAACGGUCAGCUGAUACUGAUGUGCUAGAGUGCAGAAGGGGCAAUCGGAAUUCUUGGUGUAGCGGUGAAAUGCGUAGAUAUCAAGAGGAACACCUGAGGUGAAGACGGGUUGCUGGGCUGACACUGACGCUGAGGCGCGAAAGCCAGGGGAGCAAACGGG
Molecule: ribosomal RNA, 253 nt
Filed under: uncultured bacterium
Lineage: Bacteria
Description: partial 16S ribosomal RNA
Rfam family: Bacterial small subunit ribosomal RNA
Source: RNAcentral